AACGGUAACAGGAAGCAGCUUGCUGCUUUGCUGACGAGUGGCGGACGGGUGAGUAAUGUCUGGGAAACUGCCUGAUGGAGGGGGAUAACUACUGGAAACGGUGGCUAAUACCGCAUAACGUCGCAAGACCAAAGAGGGGGACCUUCGGGCCUCUUGCCAUCAGAUGUGCCCAGAUGGGAUUAGCUUGUUGGUGAGGUAACGGCUCACCAAGGCGACGAUCCCUAGCUGGUCUGAGAGGAUGACCAGCCACACUGGAACUGAGACACGGUCCAGACUCCUACGGGAGGCAGCAGUGGGGAAUAUUGCACAAUGGGCGCAAGCCUGAUGCAGCCAUGCCGCGUGUAUGAAGAAGGCCUUCGGGUUGUAAAGUACUUUCAGCGGGGAGGAAGGUGUUGUGGUUAAUAACCGCAGCAAUUGACGUUACCCGCAGAAGAAGCACCGGCUAACUCCGUGCCAGCAGCCGCGGUAAUACGGAGGGUGCAAGCGUUAAUCGGAAUUACUGGGCGUAAAGCGCACGCAGGCGGUCUGUCAAGUCGGAUGUGAAAUCCCCGGGCUCAACCUGGGAACUGCAUUCGAAACUGGCAGGCUUGAGUCUUGUAGAGGGGGGUAGAAUUCCAGGUGUAGCGGUGAAAUGCGUAGAGAUCUGGAGGAAUACCGGUGGCGAAGGCGGCCCCCUGGACAAAGACUGACGCUCAGGUGCGAAAGCGUGGGGAGCAAACAGGAUUAGAUACCCUGGUAGUCCACGCCGUAAACGAUGUCUACUUGGAGGUUGUGCCCUUGAGGCGUGGCUUCCGGAGCUAACGCGUUAAGUAGACCGCCUGGGGAGUACGGCCGCAAGGUUAAAACUCAAAUGAAUUGACGGGGGCCCGCACAAGCGGUGGAGCAUGUGGUUUAAUUCGAUGCAACGCGAAGAACCUUACCUGGUCUUGACAUCCACAGAACUUUCCAGAGAUGGAUUGGUGCCUUCGGGAACUGUGAGACAGGUGCUGCAU
RNAcentral lists this ribosomal RNA (992 nucleotides) under Salmonella enterica subsp. enterica. RNAcentral's name for it is "bacterial SSU rRNA". It matches the Rfam family "Bacterial small subunit ribosomal RNA", at positions 65 to 1046 of the family's 1533-position model. Lineage: Bacteria; Pseudomonadati; Pseudomonadota; Gammaproteobacteria; Enterobacterales; Enterobacteriaceae. The record is from RNAcentral.